UACGUAGGUGGCAAGCGUUGUCCGGAAUUAUUGGGCGUAAAGCGCGCGCAGGCGGUCCUUUAAGUCUGAUGUGAAAGCCCACGGCUCAACCGUGGAGGGUCAUUGGAAACUGGGGGACUUGAGUGCAGGAGAGAAGAGUGGAAUUCCACGUGUAGCGGUGAAAUGCGUAAAGAUGUGGAGGAACACCAGUGGCGAAGGCGACUCUUUGGCCUGUAACUGACGCUGAGGCGCGAAAGCGUGGGGAGCAAACAGG
RNAcentral lists this ribosomal RNA (253 nucleotides) under uncultured bacterium. Its description in RNAcentral is "partial 16S ribosomal RNA". It matches the Rfam family "Bacterial small subunit ribosomal RNA", at positions 524 to 776 of the family's 1533-position model. The record is from RNAcentral.